This 413-nucleotide ribosomal RNA is filed under the name uncultured bacterium. RNAcentral describes it as "bacterial SSU rRNA". It matches the Rfam family "Bacterial small subunit ribosomal RNA", at positions 29 to 432 of the family's 1533-position model. The record is from RNAcentral.
AAUGAACGCUGGCGGCGCGCCUAAUACAUGCAAGUCGAGCGAGAAGACGUAGCAAUACGUUUGUAAAGCGGCGAACGGGUGAGGAAUACAUGGGUAACCUACCCUCGAGUGGGGAAUAACUAGCCGAAAGGUUAGCUAAUACCGCGUACGCUCCUUGGACUUCGGUUCAGGGAGGAAAGCGAUACCGUGGGUAUCGCGCUCUUGGUUGGGUUCAUGUCCUAUCAGCUUGUUGGUGAGGUAACGGCUCACCAAGGCUUCGACGGGUAGCUGGUCUGAGAGGACGAUCAGCCACACUGGCACUGCGACACGGGCCAGACUCCUACGGGAGGCAGCAGUAAGGAAUAUUGCGCAAUGGGCGAAAGCCUGACGCAGCGACGCCGCGUGGGGGAUGAAGGUCUUCGGAUUGUAAACCC